RNAcentral lists this ribosomal RNA (218 nucleotides) under Escherichia coli. Its description in RNAcentral is "partial 23S ribosomal RNA". It matches the Rfam family "Bacterial large subunit ribosomal RNA", at positions 973 to 1191 of the family's 2925-position model. The record is from RNAcentral. Lineage: Bacteria; Pseudomonadati; Pseudomonadota; Gammaproteobacteria; Enterobacterales; Enterobacteriaceae.
UAUCACGGGAGACACACGGCGGGUGCUAACGUCCGUCGUGAAGAGGGAAACAACCCAGACCGCCAGCUAAGGUCCCAAAGUCAUGGUUAAGUGGGAAACGAUGUGGGAAGGCCCAGACAGCCAGGAUGUUGGCUUAGAAGCAGCCAUCAUUUAAAGAAAGCGUAAUAGCUCACUGGUCGAGUCGGCCUGCGCGGAAGAUGUAACGGGGCUAAACCAUG